AGGAAGAUAAGCUAACUAAGCUAUUAGGUUCAUACCCUGCCCAUAGAGGUUUAAAUCCUCUUCUCCCUA
Molecule: transfer RNA, 69 nt
Filed under: Eurygaster testudinaria
Lineage: Eukaryota; Metazoa; Arthropoda; Insecta; Hemiptera; Scutelleridae
Description: tRNA-Met
Rfam family: tRNA
About the family: Transfer RNA (tRNA) molecules are approximately 80 nucleotides in length. Their secondary structure includes four short double-helical elements and three loops (D, anti-codon, and T loops).
Source: RNAcentral